Molecule: non-coding RNA, 852 nt
Organism: Nylanderia fulva
Lineage: Eukaryota; Metazoa; Arthropoda; Insecta; Hymenoptera; Formicidae
Source: RefSeq, a predicted model, not a curated record
UUGACAUUCUAGAAGAAUUGUCGUAUAAAUAAAUAAUAAUAAUAAUAGGAGUCACGGUUUGAAUUGGACAUAUCAUAUUGUGACACUGUAUAAUGAACACAUUGACUUGACGGAAUCUUGACUACUCAUCAAUUUAAACAAACACGGUGAAAUACACUACAAUGAUGAACCUAUUCGGAAAUAUGCUUGAUGAUGGGGACUAACUUUUUGAUGCUGGAUAACAUCUAAUUGUUUCAAUUCUCAUAUUAAGCAGUUCUGAUGAUAUUCUCAACUAAUAAUGUGCAAAAGGAUUGAUGACGUGGAAUGGACUGUCAACUUUAUCUAAUAACAACAUGUUCUAGCUCUGAAGAAGUGCAGGGAUAUCUCUGGAAAAAAUGUUUUAUCUAAGAGCCUAUAGGCACUCACACAUGUACCGUCUGCUUCAUCUCUUCGUCGAACUAGAGGAACGAUUAUGUAUCACACAACUGAUAUUAAAUAAGCGAAUUUAAUAGAAUUUUUUUUAUUUUUUAUUAGUCCUAAUAUAGUAAAUUUCUUCAUUUUUAUAAUUUUUACAUGUUUAAAGUCGACUGUCCAAAACUUGCCUUUUAUUUUAGCGGACUAAAGACAAAAAUUACUGAUACGGCAAGGUGUGCCAAAUGCGAAGGACAUAAAAAACACUUAAAAAAACGAUGGGAGGCAAAAGUCUGACAAAGGGAUGAAGCUGGCAGUGCAUGAAUGCCUAUGCCUUCAGGUAAAAGAGUUUUUUCUAAAGUCAUCCGUGUAUUUCAAAAACUGAAACAAUUGUUUUACUCACCAUGGAGGCUACAUUAGAAAAUAAUGUAAAUGUACAUAUUAUGUAUUCAAUAAAUUUCG